RNAcentral lists this ribosomal RNA (388 nucleotides) under uncultured bacterium. Its description in RNAcentral is "bacterial SSU rRNA". It matches the Rfam family "Bacterial small subunit ribosomal RNA", at positions 30 to 418 of the family's 1533-position model. The record is from RNAcentral.
AUUGAACGCUGGCGGCAUGCCUUACACAUGCAAGUCGAACGGCAGCGGGGACUUCGGUCCGCCGGCGAGUGGCGAACGGGUGAGUAAUAUAUCGGAACGUACCUUUCAGUGGGGGAUAACGUAGCGAAAGUUACGCUAAUACCGCAUAUUCUGUGAGCAGGAAAGCAGGGGAUCGCAAGACCUUGCGCUGAUUGAGCGGCCGAUAUCAGAUUAGCUAGUUGGUGAGGUAAAGGCUCACCAAGGCGACGAUCUGUAGCGGGUCUGAGAGGAUGAUCCGCCACACUGGAACUGAGACACGGUCCAGACUCCUACGGGAGGCAGCAGUGGGGAAUUUUGGACAAUGGGGGCAACCCUGAUCCAGCCAUGCCGCGUGAGUGAAGAAGGCCUC